RNAcentral lists this ribosomal RNA (1097 nucleotides) under Bacillus sp. 771B2_12ACASO. Its description in RNAcentral is "bacterial SSU rRNA". It matches the Rfam family "Bacterial small subunit ribosomal RNA", at positions 53 to 1134 of the family's 1533-position model. Lineage: Bacteria; Bacillati; Bacillota; Bacilli; Caryophanales; Bacillaceae. The record is from RNAcentral.
ACAUGCAAGUCGAGCGGAUGAAAGAGAGCUUGCUCUCUGGAUUCAGCGGCGGACGGGUGAGUAACACGUGGGCAACCUGCCUGUAAGACUGGGAUAACUCCGGGAAACCGGGGCUAAUACCGGAUAACUUCUUUUCCCGCAUGGGGAGAGGUUGAAAGACGGUUAUGCUGUCACUUACAGAUGGGCCCGCGGCGCAUUAGCUAGUUGGUGGGGUAACGGCCUACCAAGGCGACGAUGCGUAGCCGACCUGAGAGGGUGAUCGGCCACACUGGGACUGAGACACGGCCCAGACUCCUACGGGAGGCAGCAGUAGGGAAUCUUCCGCAAUGGACGAAAGUCUGACGGAGCAACGCCGCGUGAGUGACGAAGGCCUUCGGGUCGUAAAACUCUGUUAUCAGGGAAGAACAAGCAUCGUUUAACUGACGGUGCCAUGACGGUACCUGACCAGAAAGCCACGGCUAACUACGUGCCAGCAGCCGCGGUAAUACGUAGGUGGCAAGCGUUGUCCGGAAUUAUUGGGCGUAAAGCGCGCGCAGGCGGCUUCUUAAGUCUGAUGUGAAAGCCCACGGCUCAACCGUGGAGGGUCAUUGGAAACUGGGAGGCUUGAGUGCAGAAGAGGAGAGCGGAAUUCCACGUGUAGCGGUGAAAUGCGUAGAGAUGUGGAGGAACACCAGUGGCGAAGGCGGCUCUCUGGUCUGUAACUGACGCUGAGGCGCGAAAGCGUGGGUAGCGAACAGGAUUAGAUACCCUGGUAGUCCACGCCGUAAACGAUGAGUGCUAAGUGUUAGGGGGUUUCCGCCCCUUAGUGCUGCAGCAAACGCAUUAAGCACUCCGCCUGGGGAGUACGGCCGCAAGGCUGAAACUCAAAGGAAUUGACGGGGGCCCGCACAAGCGGUGGAGCAUGUGGUUUAAUUCGAAGCAACGCGAAGAACCUUACCAGGUCUUGACAUCCCGCUGACCGGUCUGGAGACAGAUCUUUCCCUUCGGGGACAGCGGUGACAGGUGGUGCAUGGUUGUCGUCAGCUCGUGUCGUGAGAUGUUGGGUUAAGUCCCGCAACGAGCGCAACCCUUGAUCUUAGUUGCCAGCAUUCAGUUGG